Molecule: ribosomal RNA, 396 nt
Filed under: uncultured bacterium
Lineage: Bacteria
Description: partial 16S ribosomal RNA
Rfam family: Bacterial small subunit ribosomal RNA
Source: RNAcentral
AUACGUAGGGGACGAGCGUUGUCCGGAAUUACUGGGCGUAAAGGGCGCGCAGGCGGGGAUGCAAGUUGGAUGUGAAAUACCGCAGCUUAACUGCGGAGCUGCAUCCAAAACUGUAUUUCUUGAGUGAAGUAGAGGUAGGCGGAAUUCCUAGUGUAGCGGUGAAAUGCGUAGAUACUAGGAGGAACACCAGUGGCGAAGGCGGCCUACUGGGCUUUAACUGACGCUGAGGCUCGAAAGUGUGGGGAGCAAACAGGAUUAGAUACCCUGGUAGUCCACACUGUAAACGAUGAUUGCUAGGUGUGGGGUGACUGACCCCUUCCGUGCCGGAGUAAACACAAUAAGCAAUCCACCUGGGGAGUACGACCGCAAGGUUGAAACUCAAAUGAAUUGUCGGGG